GUUCUGAUUGGCGGCUCUAACGACAUCGUAGCGAUCAGAAUACAAGCGUUACUAGUAGGGUAAGUGGAUGUAAUAGCGCAAGAUCGGUGGCGAAGUUAGUGCCGAUUCCACGAAAGACUGACGGGU
This 126-nucleotide non-coding RNA is filed under the name unclassified sequences. The record is from Rfam.